GCUCUUCAUUCUAUUUUCAUAUUUCAAGUGUUGCUUCUGACCUAAUUCAUUAUUCUAAUCAAGAUUUAUUUGUGUCCUUAAUAAAGUCGCAAAUCGAAUGGGUAUAACCAUCUCUUUCUCUGAAUCAUGUGUAUCAAUCAAUUCUGAUUUGUGAUGCCAUGACUAACAGAGGUUUUAGAUCAUUGUUAGAGUUGACCACUCCUCCACCGUGGUCAAUUGAUCUGCACCGUUUUCUUCCACAUAAUAUUAGGGUUUAUAAUUUUUAAGUUCACAGUAACAUUCAGCUAAAAAUGAGCAAAAGCCGAGAAAGUGAAAGUUACUCUAAAGAAUGGUGUGGCAAGAGUAAAAGGGUUCACAAAGAAAAGGUCAAAAGUGGAGAAAGAGGAGUUGGCUGUUGUUGAAGAUCUCAAACUGAAAGAGAGGUUGACAAGUCGUUACAAAGGGUGGAAGAAGAAGCUCAGCGAAUAUAUAAAGACGAGCAUGGUGUGCUUCUUGAUGAUGAAGCAGCUUCAACUAGAGAUGCAAUGUAUGAGCAGGUUGAUCUCUAAUUCAGAAACUUAAUGCCAAUCAGAUGGGUUGCCAUAAGGAUGGAUUAAAGAAACCAGAACUAAGAUAUAUGCAACCCACAAAAGAAAUAAUCUGUUCUAUACAGACCCUGAGACUGGAUACAUCUUUCGGUCCAAAGCUGAUGCUCUGCGUUAUAUAGAGACCAGAGAUGUGAACUCAUGUGGUAUUAGACCAAAAGUUAAGGAUAAAGAUGGAAAGGAAGCUGUAAGUCCUUAAGAUUUGCAGUUUUUAGGCAUCGUUAUGGAAUUACCAAACUGUCAUAUUGACUUUAGUUGACCUGAAUGUUUUUUCUUGACAUUAUGUAUAUACAAACAAUGCACAAAAACCCACUACUGGAGAUGACGUGGCGACUGAAGUUCCUGAAGAGAAUCACACCCCUGAUCCAAAAACCGCUAUUGACAUAAACCACAGGGUGACAAAGAAUAGCAGUCCCGCGACUGAUUCGCCAUCUCGAUCUUCAAAAAGGCAAAAAGGGAAAGAUUACGAGACUGCCCCUACAAGCGGUGUUCCCGCUGAGAAGCAGGAAACAUGGGUAAAUUUGGAAAAACAACCUGAUGAUGGCAAUCUAACUUUUAACAUUCCAGAAGAUGAUAACUGGACAGACCAAUGCAUUGACUUUGCGGUGAAAACACUUACAGUCGAAAUCAUGUUUAAUGGUCAACCAGUGGAGACAACAAGUGUGAAGGACACUCCUCCAGCAAAGGUGAACUGAGGGUGGAGAACUUGAAGCAACUAAUGGUAUGUUCCCACAGGAUGUUGUUGCUCGGGUCCUUAACAAUCAACUAAUCUCAUUAGUGUGGAUCGAUGAAAGGGUUGGUGUGCUCCUGGUUUUAUACACUUUCUCUAAUUAACCUUGGUUGAAAAUAACCAUGUCAAAGUUAAAAUCAAUCUCAGGUCAAAGUUUAUCUAAUAAUUGCCAGUUUCAACCUGAACACAAGAGGCAAAUUGGAUGGUUUGGGUAAUGAGUCACAAUGGGUAAAAGUUGUUUUACUUGGUUGAAAGUCAAAAUGAUCAAAGUCAAAAUUAAAACUUAUCCAACAAUUAUUUGUUUCAACCUAAACACAAGUGGCUAAAUGGACAGGUUAUGUAAUGGGUCAAAACGGGUAAUCGUUUAAAUUAUUUUACUCCGCAACAUAAAAAACUGUUCGUGUAAGUUCAGUCUUCGCAAGAGUUGUAUUUUUAAGUUCGUUUUGUUUAUAUAUAUCUUAGUAAUCUCCGUAAGAGAUGAUGUCAGUGAGUGCAUGGUGAGAAAAGAACUACGAACCCCCCCUCCCCAUUAAUAUAUAACUGACAUUAUUGUUAUUAUCAUUGGACAAAUAUUUUGAUUUUACCCGUUUAACCGUAUGUUUGAAUAUGUUGUUGCAGCUACACAAUGUGUUCUUUGGACUUGCAUAUGUCGUGUACUGUCAUCAAGUAAUAAAGCUUUCUUAAAUUGGUGUUGAACAUACGCCGCAAAGCAGUUUGGUAAUUUGGUCAAAAGGGGUUUAGAAAGUGGUUAAGUGGGUGAUUUUUGGUACGGGUUGACACAAUUUGUAUUAUAAUCAUAGUAAUUGUCCAUGACAACCCGUUAGAUUUUUUGACCCGAGUAGUAUGUAGAAUCUUGAAUCUUGAUUCUGUUUGGCAAAUGAAAUGGGCCAGGUAGGGCUAGGUAACGAUUCACAUGUUUGGGUGGAAACACAUUCUGGCCAAAAUGGGGUUAGGUCGAAGUGGGCUGUAUUAAUGAAGUAUCAGUUUUGUUUGGGUCAAAAUGGGUUCCAAUAUUAUUAUUUAGGUGUUGUUGUAUGAGAGACUAUAUGUUUGUUGACCCGCUGUCAUCCUGUAGUCAAUUCAUGUUAGAUUAUAUAAAUUACUACAAAGUAAGUCGACAUCAUGUAUGAUAUGGUUGAUUUCAUAGGUUUCAUGAAGUGCACAUCAACAUGGCUGCACGUACCGAUAAAAGACUCUUUGUUCCUAUCAUAAGGGGGUGUUUCAGAUCUAGGGGAUCCAUCCCAGGCCGACAUUCUAGCAGUGGAUUUGGUGAGUAGAUGAAUAAGUUCACUUUGUAUCAAGUAGAGCCAUGCCAACAAUCUUGACCCAAAGCUGAUAAUCUAAGUUGAAAUGGCCUGAAAAAUAUUGAAUUUGGGUUGGAAUAGGCAAGCAAAAAGUAAGUUAAAUUCUUGACGGUUAAAUUCCGCAUUUAUAGUCUAAUGGUUCAAGUGCGGUAUAAUUGGCGACAUCGCGUCGACGUUGAGACAUGGCCUCCAUUCAUGGCGAUUUUUAUUGUUUCGUCUAGCAACGUACAUUUCCUUCUUUGAUCUUUGGUCUUUUCUUUGUUUUUUCAUUGCAACAGUAAUUUUAUGUGAUCCCACCAACCAGACACAAGCAGCCCCCAUAUGACCUUUUAGUUAUAGUUCAAUUGAUGGUAACCUGGUACUAAUUGUUUGUUGGCCUUGCUGGCUAGAGAGUGUGCUCGAGCCGAGUCAUGUGAAAAAAAAGAGCUAGGAAUGCUAUGUUGUUUUUCCACAGUAUACUACUUGAAAGAGUGCAAACAAUACAAGUCGGAUGGGUUGGCUAACGUGUCAACUGUCAACACGAGUUCAGGUACCCAUGAAGAGGAUUCUUUUCCCUGCAAUGGGCUGCUGUGUUGAGGCUAAUACUGCACAACCUCCACCACUUCCCCUUCUUAAAGAAAACUCAGUUUGGUGGUUUGAAAGAUGAAGACCACAUACCACAUAUUUACGAACCUUUAUGGUAUACAUGACACAUUUCUCAAAAGGGCCAUGAAGCGUGGUGAUUUGUAUAGAACUAAGGAUUUAGUGAUCAAGAGUUCCGAUUGGAUUUCUUGCUAUAUAAGUGAUAGAACUAAGGUACAUAUUAUUAUAAAAAGUCAUUUGCGGAGCACACAUGCAAUAAGCUAAAAGUCAACUAACCUAACUGUUCUAGCAGCAUCAUAAGGCGAAUUUGUUAUCUACUCUUUAUGUUUCAAGACUAAGAGGUUGUUUGGUAGCAUCUGAAUGACAUUAAGAG
RNAcentral lists this long non-coding RNA (3573 nucleotides) under Helianthus annuus (common sunflower). The record is from RNAcentral. Lineage: Eukaryota; Viridiplantae; Streptophyta; Magnoliopsida; Asterales; Asteraceae.